AGUCGAGCGAUGAAGUUUCUUCGGAAAUGGAUUAGCGGCGAACGGGUGAGGAACACGUGAAGAAUCUGCCCUCCACUUUGGGAUAACACCGGGAAACCGGUGCUAAUACCGAAUAUUGAAACAUAAGUGGCAUCACUGAGUUUUGAAAGAAUUUCGGUGGAGGAUGACUUCGCGGCCUAUCAGCUAGUUGGUGAGGUAAUGGCUCACCAAGGCAACGACGGGUAGCCGGCCUGAGAGGGCGACCGGCCACACUGGGACUGAGACACGGCCCAGACUCCUACGGGAGGCAGCAGUGGGGAAUAUUGGGCAAUGGAGGAAACUCUGACCCAGCGACGCCGCGUGCGGGAUGAAGGCCUUCGGGUUGUAAACCGCUUUCAGUAGGGAAGAAGCGAAAGUGACGGUACCUACAAAAGAAGCACCGGCUAACUAUGUGCCAGCAGCCGCGGUAAUACAUAGGGUGCAAGCGUUGUCCGGAAUUAUUGGGCGUAAAGAGCUCGUAGGUCGUUUGUUACGUCGGAUGUGAAAACCUGAGGCUCAACCUCAGGCCUGCAUUCGAUACGGGCAAACUAGAGUUUGGUAGGGGAGACUGGAAUUCCUGGUGUAGCGGUGGAAUGCGCAGAUAUCAGGAGGAACACCAAUGGCGAAGGCAGGUCUCUGGGCCAAUACUGACACUGAGGAGCGAAAGUCUGGGGAGCGAACAGGAUUAGAUACCCUGGUAGUCCAGACCGUAAACGGUGGGCACUAGUUGUGGGAACCUUCCACGGUUUCUGCGACGCAGCUAACGCAUUAAGUGCCCCGCCUGGGGAGUACGAUCGCAAGAUUAAAACUCANA
RNAcentral lists this ribosomal RNA (832 nucleotides) under uncultured bacterium. RNAcentral describes it as "SSU rRNA". It matches the Rfam family "Bacterial small subunit ribosomal RNA", at positions 60 to 905 of the family's 1533-position model. The record is from RNAcentral.